UACGUAGGGGGCAAGCGUUGUCCGGAAUUACUGGGCGUAAAGCGCCUGUAGGCGGGAACGUGCGUCGGACGUGAAAGGCUGGGGCUUAACCCCCGAGCGGCGUUCGAAACGGCGUUUCUUGAGGGUCGAAGAGGAGCGUGGAAUUGCAGGUGUAGCGGUGAAAUGCGUAGAUAUCUGCAGGAACACCCGUGGCGAAGGCGGCUGACUGGAUCGCAACUGACACUGAGGAACGAAAGCUAGGGGAGCAAACAGG
This 253-nucleotide ribosomal RNA is filed under the name uncultured prokaryote. RNAcentral's name for it is "partial 16S ribosomal RNA". It matches the Rfam family "Bacterial small subunit ribosomal RNA", at positions 524 to 776 of the family's 1533-position model. The record is from RNAcentral.